UUGCACACUUCUCAGUAUAAAAACACGUUAAAAACUCUAAAAUUUUUUUACAGUCAUUACCUUGGUGACUCUUAUUUACCACAGUCUCCAAGUUCAAAACCAAGACCAUAUCUCAAGAUCAAAUUGAAUAAAAACAUGUUUUACAUAACUACUUACAGUAAAUCUUAAAUAUGCUAUCGGUACUUUUCAGCGUAUAGAACUUGGGCUCAAGCUGAGGUGACCUCCUGUCCCUUUUAUCACCAAUUUUCUUGUACACUAUUAGUUAUCUGAUACUAAACACUACUUCUGUCUCCUCUGCAGAAAAACUGCUUGACCAUGCAGGCUAACCUUGCAUCAAUCCGUAGUUAUGAGGAAUACCAGUUUAUUCACAGGCUGAUAAUAGAUUCAGUGAAUUCCUGCGUGGAGACGUGGAUUGGAGGCACUAAUGCACAAGAGAGUUCUGUUUGGUUGUGGAGUGAUGGAAGCAAUUUUCUGGAUGCAAACUGGUGUCCUGGACAGCCUUAUAGUGGAAACCGCUGUGCAACAAUGAAUUAUGAUGGUAAAUCAAAUUAUCCAGGAUGAUUACCCGUUUCUGGGAAGAUUCAAGGACUCUGUUAACUUUUAUGUCAUAAUCGAUCAAUUGUCUUAAACCAGUUUUAGUUUCUUGAAAAACUGAGAUCUGUUUGUUAGUUUUAAAAGGCAUUACGGAUUAUUUUAGAGAUUUUCUGCUGUUUGGUUUUCAGUUUUCACACACUGAAGUGCAGAAUCAAGAAAAAACUAACAGAAAUUAGACACAAUUAAUGCUUAACUCCAUCCACCGAAAUAACUAAACCUUUAAU
Molecule: long non-coding RNA, 818 nt
Organism: Gambusia affinis (western mosquitofish)
Lineage: Eukaryota; Metazoa; Chordata; Actinopteri; Cyprinodontiformes; Poeciliidae
Exons: 2
Source: RefSeq, a predicted model, not a curated record